CCUACGGGAGGCAGCAGUGGGGAAUAUUGCACAAUGGGGGAAACCCUGAUGCAGCGACGCCGCGUGAAGGAAGAAGUAUUUAGGGAUUUAAACUUCUAUCAGCAGGGACGAAAAUGACGGUACCUGACUAAGAAGCCCCGGCUAACUACGUGCCAGCAGCCGCGGUAAUACGUAGGGGGCAAGCGUUAUCCGGAUUUACUGGGUGUAAAGGGAGCGUAGGCGGCGAUGCAAGCCUGAAGUGAAAGCCCGGGGCUCAACCCCGGGACUGCUUUUGAAACUGUGGUGCUAGAUUGCAGGAGAGGUAAGUGGAAUUCGUAGUGUAGCGGUGAAAUGCGUAGAUAUUAGGAGGAACACCAGUGGCGAAGGCGGCUUACUGGACUGUAAAUGACGCUGAGGCUCGAAAGCGUGGGGAGCAAACAGGAUUAGAUACCCGAGUAGUC
RNAcentral lists this ribosomal RNA (440 nucleotides) under uncultured bacterium. Its description in RNAcentral is "partial 16S ribosomal RNA". It matches the Rfam family "Bacterial small subunit ribosomal RNA", at positions 338 to 795 of the family's 1533-position model. The record is from RNAcentral.